ACGAGUUAGGGCCUCUGGCCCGAACCUCCAACCCUUUGUAUCAAAACCUCGUUGCCUCGGGGAGGCCCUGCCUCACGGCUGGCCCCCCGAUGGACCACUAAACUCUGCAUCUGUAUGACGUCUGAGUAAAGAUUUUAAAUUAGAUCA
Molecule: unclassified non-coding RNA, 147 nt
Filed under: soil metagenome
Description: partial internal transcribed spacer 1
Source: RNAcentral